GAUGAACGCUGACAGAAUGCUUAACACAUGCAAGUCAACUUGAACUUCGGUUUGGGUGGCGGACGGGUGAGUAACGCGUAAAGAACUUGCCUCACAGAUAGGGACAACAUUUGGAAACGAAUGCUAAUACCUGAUAUUAUGAUUUUAGGGCAUCCUAGGAUUAUGAAAGCUAUGUGCGCUGUGAGAGAGCUUUGCGUCCCAUUAGCUAGUUGGAGAGGUAACGGCUCACCAAGGCGAUGAUGGGUAGCCGGCCUGAGAGGGUGAUCGGCCACAAGGGGACUGAGACACGGCCCUUACUCCUACGGGAGGCAGCAGUGGGGAAUAUUGGACAAUGGACCAAGAGUCUGAUCCAGCAAUUCUGUGUGCACGAUGAAGUUUUUCGGAAUGUAAAGUGCUUUCAGUUGGGAAGAAAAAAAUGACGGUACCAACAGAAGAAGUGACGGCUAAAUACGUG
This 454-nucleotide ribosomal RNA is filed under the name uncultured bacterium. Its description in RNAcentral is "partial 16S ribosomal RNA". It matches the Rfam family "Bacterial small subunit ribosomal RNA", at positions 28 to 507 of the family's 1533-position model. The record is from RNAcentral.